UUCAGAGGUGGCAAGCGUUGUUCGGAAUUACUGGGCGUAAAGGGCGUGUAGGCGGCCUUUUAAGUCAGACGUGAAAUCCCCCGGCUCAACCUGGGAACUGCGUCUGAUACUGGAAGGCUAGAGUAUGGGAGAGGGAUGUAGAAUUCCAGGUGUAGCGGUGAAAUGCGUAGAUAUCUGGAGGAAUACCGGUGGCGAAGGCGGCAUCCUGGACCAUUACUGACGCUGAUACGCGAAAGCUAGGGGAGCAAACGGG
Molecule: ribosomal RNA, 253 nt
Filed under: uncultured bacterium
Lineage: Bacteria
Description: partial 16S ribosomal RNA
Rfam family: Bacterial small subunit ribosomal RNA
Source: RNAcentral